UUUAACACCGAAGAGGCAUCGAUUUUUCUCCGUACGAGACAUCUUUUCUGCCGAGGAUAUGGAAAAAAUAAAAAAUUCAAACAGGAACCAACACUAAAACCAUGUUACAGGAAUAGGGUCAAGGUUCCUGUAGUACCAAUAAGCCUUGUCAAAAAACAGCUCCUAUGAGAAUGAACUGAGAUAAAACUUCAAAGACAGCUGGUAGGGACCCUUCCCCACUCUCUCUCCCUUAUGCACACAUGCACAUCAAUAAGCCAAGUGUCACAUUCAGGACAUUCCCAGCAGAAUAACACAUUUGAAAAAUAGAUGAGCUUCAAAACAAGACGUGACACUGGACAAUGGUGAGACUGGAAUGCCACCUGCUGGACAUGGGAGACUUUUACAGUAGCUUUCUGACA
This is a long non-coding RNA of Paramisgurnus dabryanus, 398 nucleotides long. RefSeq lists it as uncharacterized. NCBI's taxonomy places the organism in Eukaryota, Metazoa, Chordata, Actinopteri, Cypriniformes, Cobitidae. The record is from RefSeq and is a predicted model, not a curated record.